RNAcentral lists this ribosomal RNA (497 nucleotides) under uncultured bacterium. RNAcentral describes it as "partial 16S ribosomal RNA". It matches the Rfam family "Bacterial small subunit ribosomal RNA", at positions 28 to 507 of the family's 1533-position model. The record is from RNAcentral.
GACGAACGCUGGCGGCGUGCCUAAUACAUGCAAGUAGAACGCUGAAGAGAGGAGCUUGCUCUUCUUGGAUGAGUUGCGAACGGGUGAGUAACGCGUAGGUAACCUGCCUUGUAGCGGGGGAUAACUAUUGGAAACGAUAGCUAAUACCGCAUAACAAUGGAUGACACAUGUCAUUUAUUUGAAAGGGGCACUUGCUCCACUACAAGAUGGACCUGCGUUGUAUUAGCUAGUAGGUGAGGUAAUGGCUCACCUAGGCGACGAUACAUAGCCGACCUGAGAGGGUGAUCGGCCGCACUGGGACUGAGACACGGCCCAGACUCCUACGGGAGGCAGCAGUAGGGAAUCUUCGGCAAUGGGGGCAACCCUGACCGAGCAACGCCGCGUGAGUGAAGAAGGUUUUCGGAUCGUAAAGCUCUGUUGUAAGUCAAGAACGGGUGUGAGAGUGGAAAGUUCACACUGUGACGGUAGCUUACCAGAAAGGGACGGCUAACUACGUG